This 1390-nucleotide long non-coding RNA is filed under the name Homo sapiens (human). RNAcentral's name for it is "non-protein coding lnc-S100A10-1:1". The record is from RNAcentral. Lineage: Eukaryota; Metazoa; Chordata; Mammalia; Primates; Hominidae.
UGUCUACCAGGGUGACCUGGAAGUCCUACGGGGUGUCCCCCUUGGCCCCAGGGCCCUCAGCAGCUGCUCCUACAAGAAUGGGCUGGUGCCUGCAUCAGCUCCUGGAGCUCCUCCCAAAUGGGCAGCAGCAGCAGCUUCUGGAGUGGCUGGGUAUCAGCAUGGGUCUGGGUGGAGGCUAUGCCAGGGCCAGUAGUAUGGGAGGCAUCACAGCCGCCAUGGUGAACCAGAGCCUGCUAAGCCCCUUAAGCUGGAGGUGGACCCCAACAUCCAAGCCGUGAGCACCCAGGAGAAGGAGCAGAUCAACACCCUCAACAAGUUUGCCUCCUUCAUCAACAACGUGGGGGUUCCUGGAGCAACAGAACAAGAUGCUGAAGACCAAGUGGAGCCUCCAGCAGCAGGAGAGGAGGCUGGAAGCAACAUAGACAGCGUGUUCCAUAGCUACAUCAACAACCUUGGGUGGCAGCUGGACACUCUGGGCCAGGAAAAGCAGAGGCUGCUGGAGGACUUCAAGAAGAAGUAGGAGGGUGAGACUGAUAAGCCAACAGAGAUGGAGAAUCAAUCUGUCCUCAUCAAGAAGGACGCGCAUGAAGCUUAAGUGAACAAGGUAGAGCUGGAGUCUCGCUUGGGAGAGCUGACUGAUGAGAUCAGCCUCCUCAGGCAGCUGUAUGAAGAGGAGACCUCCAGACUCGGACACAUCUGUGGUCCUGUCUAUGGCCAAAAGCCGCACACUGGAUGUGGGCAGUGACAUGGCCAAGUCCCCAAGUGGGAGGAGAUAGCCAAAGCAGCUGGGCGAGGCUGAGAGGGCACCAGAUCUAAGUGUGAGGGGUUGCAGACACUGGCUGGGAAACACAGGGAUGCCCUGUGGUGCACAAAGAUGCAGAUCUCAGAGAUGAACCCGAACAUCAUCUGGCUCCAGCUGAUACUAAGGGCCUCAAAGGCCAGAGGGCUUCCCUGGGGUUCACCAUCGGAGAGCCAAGCCGCUGGCUAUAAAGGAGCCAACGCCACGCUGGCAGAGCUGGAGGCCACCCUGCAGUGGGACAAGCAGGGCAUGACAUAGCAGGUACGCGAGUGCCAGGAGCUGAUGAACGCCAGGCUCCCCUGGACACUGAGUUCACCACCUACGGGAAGCUGCCGGAGGACAAGGACAGCAGCCUGGAGUCUGGGAUGCAGAACAUGAGUAUCCAUACAAAGACCACCAGUGGCUGCUCAGAUGGGCUGAGCUCGGCCUACUGGGCCUCACAAGCUCUGGCCUCAAUCACAGCCUGGGUUCCAGCUUUGACUCUGGCAAGAGCUCUGACUCCUUCAGCCGUACCAGCGCUUCCAAGGCCACGGUUUUGAAAAAGAUCCAAACCAGCAAUAACAAGCUGGUGUCCAGCCCUCUGCUGUCCUG